This 393-nucleotide ribosomal RNA is filed under the name Hemidactylus mercatorius. RNAcentral describes it as "partial 16S ribosomal RNA". It matches the Rfam family "Bacterial large subunit ribosomal RNA", at positions 2008 to 2597 of the family's 2925-position model. The record is from RNAcentral. Lineage: Eukaryota; Metazoa; Chordata; Lepidosauria; Squamata; Gekkonidae.
GGGUGACACUGUCUCAUACGAUUAAUCAAUGAACCUGAUUUCCCAGUACAAAAGCUGGGAUAAAACCACAAGACGAGAAGACCCUGUGGAGCUUCAAGCCAAAAUACUGACUCACUCUAAACAGUAUUCGCCUUAAGUUGGGGCAACUGCGGAGAAAAACAGAACCUCCGUGAUACAAAGGAGUUUAAAACACCACCAAGGGGGACACCCCAAAAGUGCUGCCCUUUAUGACCCAGUAAAACUGAAUACCGAACCAAGUUACCCCAGGGAUAACAGCGCCAUCCCCCUCAAGAGUCCACAUCAACAGGGGGGCUUACGACCUCGAUGUUGGAUCAGGACACCCAGGUGGUGCAGCCGCUACCAAUGGUCCGUUUGUUCAACGGCUAACGUCCU